This 264-nucleotide unclassified non-coding RNA is filed under the name Hevea brasiliensis (rubber tree). Lineage: Eukaryota; Viridiplantae; Streptophyta; Magnoliopsida; Malpighiales; Euphorbiaceae. The record is from RNAcentral.
AAGAGCCCGACACCGGCCAGAGGAAAUGAAGGAUGGAGGGAACUGCAGCGAGGUGGAGUCAGCCGCGGCGGCUCGCGAGGUUCUGCUCAUCUCCGCCGGCGCCAGCCACUCCGUCGCACUUCUCUCUGGGGAUGUUGUUUGCUCUUGGGGCCGUGGUGAGGAUGGACAGUUGGGUCAUGGAGAUGCUGACGACCGACUUCUUCCAACUCUAAUGAGAGCAUUGGAUGGCCAGGGCAUAGUCUUUGUAACUUGUGGAGCUGAUCA